CCUGAUUGUGGUGAAGUGGAUGAUCCUAUGCUGCCGAGAAAAGCCUCUAGUGAGUGUUGUGGCGGCCCGUACCCUAAACCGACUCAGGUGGUCAGGUAGAGAAUACCAAGGCGAUCGGGUGAACUGUGGUUAAGGAACUCGGCAAAUUGCCCCCGUAACUUCGGGAGAAGGGGGACCUCUGCUGGUGAUGGGCUUUACGUUCUGAGCUGGUGGGGGUCGCAGUGGCCAGGGGGAAGCGACUGUUUACUAAAAACACAGGUCCGUGCGAAGUCGUAAGACGAUGUAUACGGACUGACGCCUGCCCGGUGCCGGAACGUUAAGGGGACCGCUUAGCCAGCUUCGGUUGGCGAAGGUGAGAACUUAAGCGCCGGUAAACGGCGGUGGUAACUAUAACCAUCCUAAGGUAGCGAAAUUCCUUGUCGGGUAAGUUCCGACCUGCACGAAUGGCGUAACGACUUCCCCGCUGUCUCAACCACAGACCCGGCGAAAUUGCACUACGAGUAAAGAUGCUCGUUUCGCGCAGCAGGACGGAAAGACCCCGGGACCUUCACUACAGCUUGACAUUGGCGUUUGGAACGUCUUGUGUAGGAUAGGUGGGAGACUGGGAAGCUGUCACGCUAGUGAUGGUGGAGUCAUUGGUGAAAUACCACUCUGGUCGUUUUGAACGUCUAACUCUGGUCCGUGAUCCGGAUCGGGGACAGUGUCUGGUGGGUAGUUUAACUGGGGCGGUUGCCUCCUAAAGAGUAACGGAGGCGCCCAAAGGUUCCCUCAGCCUGGUUGGCAAUCAGGUGUUGAGUGUAAGUGCACAAGGGAGCUUGACUGUGAGACUGACAGGUCGAGCAGGAGCGAAAGCUGGGACUAGUGAUCCGGCAUCGGCGUGUGGAAGCGGUGUCGCUCAACGGCUAAAAGGUACCCCGGGGAUAACAGGCUGAUCUUCCCCAAGAGUCCAUAUCGACGGGAUGGUUUGGCACCUCGAUGUCGGCUCGUCGCAUCCUGGGGCUGGAGUAGGUCCCAAGGGUUGGGCUGUUCGCCCAUUAAAGCGGUACGCGAGCUGGGUUUAGAACGUCGCGAGACAGUUCGGUCCCUAUCCGCUGCGCGCGCAGGAGACUUGAAGGGGGCUGUCCCUAGUACGAGAGGACCGGGACGGACGAACCUCUGGUGUGCCAGUUGUACCGCCAGGUGCACGGCUGGUUGGCUACGUUCGGAAGGGAUAACCGCUGAAAGCAUCUAAGCGGGAAGCUCGCCUUGAGAUGAGGUCUCCCACCCUGUGAGGGGGUAAGGCUCCCGGUAGAUCACCGGGUUGAUAGGCCGGAGGUGGAAGCACGGUAACGUGUGGAGCUGACCGGUACUAAUAGGCCGAGGACUUGACC
This 1370-nucleotide ribosomal RNA is filed under the name metagenome. RNAcentral's name for it is "bacterial LSU rRNA". It matches the Rfam family "Bacterial large subunit ribosomal RNA", at positions 1575 to 2925 of the family's 2925-position model. The record is from RNAcentral.